UUGAUGGUGCUUGCACCUGAUUGAUUUUGGUCGCCAACGAGUGGCGGACGGGUGAGUAACACGUAGGUAACCUGCCCAGAAGCGGGGGACAACAUUUGGAAACAGAUGCUAAUACCGCAUAACAGCGUUGUUCGCAUGAACAACGCUUAAAAGAUGGCUUCUCGCUAUCACUUCUGGAUGGACCUGCGGUGCAUUAGCUUGUUGGUGGGGUAACGGCCUACCAAGGCGAUGAUGCAUAGCCGAGUUGAGAGACUGAUCGGCCACAAUGGGACUGAGACACGGCCCAUACUCCUACGGGAGGCAGCAGUAGGGAAUCUUCCACAAUGGGCGCAAGCCUGAUGGAGCAACACCGCGUGAGUGAAGAAGGGUUUCGGCUCGUAAAGCUCUGUUGUUAAAGAAGAACACGUAUGAGAGUAACUGUUCAUACGUUGACGGUAUUUAACCAGAAAGUCACGGCUAACUACGUGCCAGCAGCCGCGGUAAUACGUAGGUGGCAAGCGUUAUCCGGAUUUAUUGGGCGUAAAGAGAGUGCAGGCGGUUUUCUAAGUCUGAUGUGAAAGCCUUCGGCUUAACCGGAGAAGUGCAUCGGAAACUGGAUAACUUGAGUGCAGAAGAGGGUAGUGGAACUCCAUGUGUAGCGGUGGAAUGCGUAGAUAUAUGGAAGAACACCAGUGGCGAAGGCGGCUACCUGGUCUGCAACUGACGCUGAGACUCGAAAGCAUGGGUAGCGAACAGGAUUAGAUACCCUGGUAGUCCAUGCCGUAAACGAUGAGUGCUAGGUGUUGGAGGGUUUCCGCCCUUCAGUGCCGGAGCUAACGCAUUAAGCACUCCGCCUGGGGAGUACGACCGCAAGGUUGAAACUCAAAGGAAUUGACGGGGGCCCGCACAAGCGGUGGAGCAUGUGGUUUAAUUCGAAGCUACGCGAAGAACCUUACCAGGUCUUGACAUCUUGCGCCAACCCUAGAGAUAGGGCGUUUCCUUCGGGAACGCAAUGACAGGUGGUGCAUGGUCGUCGUCAGCUCGUGUCGUGAGAUGUUGGGUUAAGUCCCGCAACGAGCGCAACCCUUGUUACUAGUUGCCAGCAUUAAGUUGGGCACUCUAGUGAGACUGCCGGUGACAAACCGGAGGAAGGUGGGGACGACGUCAGAUCAUCAUGCCCCUUAUGACCUGGGCUACACACGUGCUACAAUGGACGGUACAACGAGUCGCGAACUCGCGAGGGCAAGCAAAUCUCUUAAAACCGUUCUCAGUUCGGACUGCAGGCUGCAACUCGCCUGCACGAAGUCGGAAUCGCUAGUAAUCGCGGAUCAGCAUGCCGCGGUGAAUACGUUCCCGGGCCUUGUACACACCGCCCGUCACACCAUGAGAGUUUGUAACACCCAAAG
RNAcentral lists this ribosomal RNA (1385 nucleotides) under Limosilactobacillus fermentum. RNAcentral's name for it is "bacterial SSU rRNA". It matches the Rfam family "Bacterial small subunit ribosomal RNA", at positions 68 to 1426 of the family's 1533-position model. The record is from RNAcentral. Lineage: Bacteria; Bacillati; Bacillota; Bacilli; Lactobacillales; Lactobacillaceae.